GCUUCCAUGGCGCAAUGGUAGCGCACGGUACUUAUGUGGAUAACUGUAUGCCGGGGUUCUGAGUUCGAACCUCAGUGGAAGCA
Molecule: non-coding RNA, 83 nt
Organism: Flagelloscypha sp. PMI_526
Lineage: Eukaryota; Fungi; Basidiomycota; Agaricomycetes; Agaricales; Niaceae
Source: the annotation of a GenBank genome assembly